Molecule: long non-coding RNA, 1211 nt
Organism: Salvia hispanica
Lineage: Eukaryota; Viridiplantae; Streptophyta; Magnoliopsida; Lamiales; Lamiaceae
Source: RefSeq, a predicted model, not a curated record
UCCCCUCCCUAUCUCUCUCAUUUCCAUUUUCCCCAAAUUAGAGACAAAUCCCUAAAUUCCGUCGCCUGCCUCCUCACUCCACCAGAAUCGAUGCCCCACUCCCCUCCCCUCUCUCGGACCUGUUCACGCCGCCGCCGCCGCCGCCGCCCCUGCUGCGCGUGCGGUGGCUCGCCGUCGCACCUCCCUCUCCUCAUCGCCUGAGCUCUGCCUCAGCCGCUACCCUCUCUCUCGAAUCUGCCGCCGCCGCCGACCCUGUCCAGAGCCGCCGUCUGCCGCCGCCUACGGCGGUGUCUCUCUCUCUCUCCUUCCGAUUCUCCCUCUCUCUUCCCCACUCCCUCUUCCUCUCGCUGCUCACGCCAUCGACGUACGCUUGCUGUCGGACAGCCCGAAUCAAUAUCCAGCAGCCCCGACUGAGCUCGAAACAACCUCGCCGGUAUCCGGCAGCCCCCGAACCAUUCAAAGCAACCCCGAACUCAACUCGAUCACACCCGAACCAGCCCCGAAACGCAAGAUAAGUUCUCGCACUCAAAUUAUGUUCUUUUCGUAGUUCAUUUAGUUACAGAGGGGUGUUCAAUUCGUUGUGUUCGGUUCAUUGUUGAUUGUUAUUGAUUGAAUUACUUGGGUGAGAGUUGGUGGAUGAUAUGUUAUGUAUAAACAUGAUCAAAAGGGGAAGGGUUUUAUACCUCAAAACACGAUAUUGAAUUGUGAAAUUGUGGGACUGAAAGGAGUAGUUUCCUUGGACUUGGCAGACUCGUCUCUAUGAUUUGGGAUGCUUGUUAGAAGAGAAUUAGGCGGCACCCUUGAACUCUCGAUUUCUGCCAUGAAUGGAGCAGGAGUGUAAUCAAGCAGCUACGUGCCUUGAGGGGAAUGAGAAUAAUCAAGCAGCAGCUACGUGCCUUAAAGGGAAGUAAAGUAAUCAAGCAGGAAGUGGAGGAGUGUCAAGCAGGAGGUGGAACAAUUACGUGGCUUGAGGGGGAUGAGAGUCAUCAGGAGGAAGAAGAAGGAAGAAGGAGGUGCAGGAGCAAUAAACAAGAAUUAAUUUAGUUAUUUGGGUAUUCCAUGAAUGGGUUCCAAAAAUUUUGAAGUGGGCUGGGAUUUACUUAUAGGCCCACAUAUGUACACCAUUUUAUUUAUUCUAUUCCAUUUCAUAGUUUUUAGAAAUGUAUAACGGUAGUUAGACUUGUAAAAUAAAAAGUUUGGUUGACUAUGGA